UACGUAGGGUGCAGGCGUUAAUCGGAAUUACUGGGCGUAAAGCGUGCGCAGGCGGCUAUGCAAGACAGAUGUGAAAUCCCCGGGCUCAACCUGGGAACUGCAUUUGUGACUGCAUAGCUAGAGUACGGUAGAGGGGGAUGGAAUUCCGCGUGUAGCAGUGAAAUGCGUAGAUAUGCGGAGGGAACACCGAUGGCGAAGGCAAUCCCCCUGGACCUGUACUGACGCUG
Molecule: ribosomal RNA, 227 nt
Filed under: uncultured bacterium
Lineage: Bacteria
Description: partial 16S ribosomal RNA
Rfam family: Bacterial small subunit ribosomal RNA
Source: RNAcentral